CCUACGGGGGGCAGCAGUGGGGAAUAUUGGACAAUGGGGGCAACCCUGAUCCAGCCAUGCCGCGUGUGUGAAGAAGGCCCUCGGGUUGUAAAGCACUUUCAGUGAGGAAGAACGCCUGGUGGUUAAUACCCAUCAGGAAAGACAUCACUCACAGAAGAAGCACCGGCUAACUCCGUGCCAGCAGCCGCGGUAAUACGGAGGGUGCGAGCGUUAAUCGGAAUUACUGGGCGAAAAGCGCGCGUAGGUGGCUUGAUAAGCCGGUUGUGAAAGCCCCGGGCUCAACCUGGGAACGGCAUCCGGAACUGUCAAGCUAGAGUGCAGGAGAGGAAGGUAGAAUUCCCGGUGUAGCGGUGAAAUGCGUAGAGAUCGGGAGGAAUACCAGUGGCGAAGGCGGCCUUCUGGACUGACACUGACACUGAGGUGCGAAAGCGUGGGUAGCAAACAGGAUUAGAUACCCUAGUAGUC
This 465-nucleotide ribosomal RNA is filed under the name Vreelandella stevensii. RNAcentral's name for it is "partial 16S ribosomal RNA". It matches the Rfam family "Bacterial small subunit ribosomal RNA", at positions 338 to 795 of the family's 1533-position model. Lineage: Bacteria; Pseudomonadati; Pseudomonadota; Gammaproteobacteria; Oceanospirillales; Halomonadaceae. The record is from RNAcentral.